GACAGACUGUUAUAAAUAAUUUUUAUUCAUAGUGAAAAAUGUGUGAUUUAUCAGUAUAUAAGUCACACCGGAGUUUAAGUCCCAGAACCUCCCAACCAGUAAAUUAAUGCAAUUUAACACUCCAGAAAAUGUAGAACUGACAAUGAUCAGAGAAGCUGAACGUCAGUGUUGUAAAUCUGGACACCUUGUUUUCUUCUGUCAUGUUGAUCUUCCAGCAUUUCUGCU
Molecule: long non-coding RNA, 225 nt
Organism: Thalassophryne amazonica
Lineage: Eukaryota; Metazoa; Chordata; Actinopteri; Batrachoidiformes; Batrachoididae
Exons: 3
Source: RefSeq, a predicted model, not a curated record